UGAACGCUGGCGGCAGGCCUAACACAUGCAAGUCGAGCGGUAGAGAGAAGCUUGCUUCUCUUGAGAGCGGCGGACGGGUGAGUAAUGCCUAGGAAUCUGCCUGGUAGUGGGGGAUAACGUUCGGAAACGGACGCUAAUACCGCAUACGUCCUACGGGAGAAAGCAGGGGACCUUCGGGCCUUGCGCUAUCAGAUGAGCCUAGGUCGGAUUAGCUAGUUGGUGAGGUAAUGGCUCACCAAGGCGACGAUCCGUAACUGGUCUGAGAGGAUGAUCAGCCACAUCGGGACUGAGACACGGCCCGAACUCCUACGGGAGGCAGCAGUGGGGAAUAUUGGACAAUGGGGGAAACCCUGAUCCAGCCAUGCCGCGUGUGUGAAGAAGGUCUUCGGAUUGUAAAGCACUUUAAGUUGGGAGGAAGGGCAGUUACCUAAUACGUGAUUGUUUUGACGUUACCGACAGAAUAAGCACCGGCUAACUCU
RNAcentral lists this ribosomal RNA (479 nucleotides) under uncultured bacterium. RNAcentral's name for it is "bacterial SSU rRNA". It matches the Rfam family "Bacterial small subunit ribosomal RNA", at positions 30 to 504 of the family's 1533-position model. The record is from RNAcentral.